CCCUUAGAUGUUCUGGGCUGCACGUGCGCUACACUGAUGCAUUCAACGAGCUUUCGAUCUUGCCCGAGAGGGUUGGAUAAUCUUUUUAAAGUGCAUCGUGAUGGGGAUAGAUUAUUGCAAUUAUUAAUCUUCAACGAGGAAUUCCUAGUAAGCGCGAGUCAUCAGCUCGUGCUGAUUACGUCCCUGCCCUUUGUACACACCGCCCGUCGCUCCUACCGAUUGAGUGGUCCGGUGAGGCUUUGGGAUCUGAGCGGAAAGAGCGUUUCGCUGUUUCUGCUCGGAAAACUCAGUCGAACCUUAUCAUUUAGAGGAAGGAGAAGUCGUAACA
This 328-nucleotide ribosomal RNA is filed under the name uncultured eukaryote. RNAcentral describes it as "partial 18S ribosomal RNA". It matches the Rfam family "Eukaryotic small subunit ribosomal RNA", at positions 1470 to 1796 of the family's 1831-position model. The record is from RNAcentral.